AUGAAUUGCUGCAAUUUGCUAGUCUGGAAUGUCAGGGGUCUCAAUUCGGUUGCUAGAAGAGCUGCUGUUCGUGCGAUUGUUAAGCAAAAUGUUAUUAGUAUGAUUUGCUUGCAAGAAACAAAGAUGUCAACCUUUGAUUCCAGUCUGGUCUCUGAAAUCUGUGGUCCUAGGUUCACUGGCUUUGCUUUCUCCCCCUCUGAAGGUGCUAGUGGAGAUUUUCUUGUUGCAUGG
This 231-nucleotide ribosomal RNA is filed under the name Triticum aestivum (bread wheat). RNAcentral's name for it is "partial small subunit ribosomal RNA". Lineage: Eukaryota; Viridiplantae; Streptophyta; Magnoliopsida; Poales; Poaceae. The record is from RNAcentral.